CAAGUCAUCAUGGCCCUUACGAGUAGGGCUACACACGUGCUACAAUGGCGCAUACAGAGGGCGGCCAACUUGCGAAAGUGAGCGAAUCCCAAAAAGUGCGUCGUAGUCCGGAUUGGAGUCUGCAACUCGACUCCAUGAAGUCGGAAUCGCUAGUAAUCGUGGAUCAGAAUGCCACGGUGAAUACGUUCCCGGGCCUUGUACACA
This 204-nucleotide ribosomal RNA is filed under the name Vibrio parahaemolyticus. RNAcentral describes it as "partial 16S ribosomal RNA". It matches the Rfam family "Bacterial small subunit ribosomal RNA", at positions 1186 to 1389 of the family's 1533-position model. The record is from RNAcentral. Lineage: Bacteria; Pseudomonadati; Pseudomonadota; Gammaproteobacteria; Vibrionales; Vibrionaceae.